Molecule: long non-coding RNA, 410 nt
Filed under: Rattus norvegicus (Norway rat)
Lineage: Eukaryota; Metazoa; Chordata; Mammalia; Rodentia; Muridae
Description: long non-coding RNA NONRATT028240
Source: RNAcentral
CCUGACUCCAAAUGCAGUGCGACACAACGUACGCAUGCGCCUGACGCCAUGCCUUCCCAGAUGUGAUGGACUGUACCUCUCACCGGUUUUAGAUGACUUUAUUCAUCAGAGCACACAUAAACAAAUGGGACUCCAAACAAACCCAUGCAACCUCUGAGAAAGAGAACUUGAAUCCUGCCGCUCUCCACCAGUCUGCAUUGACGUAAGUUUGCUACCUCAUCCAUUCAAUGCUUCAGGGGUCAUGGAAGUGGAGAUGUAGCUGGAGACCAACAAAGAUGGACACUUGCUGAGAAAAAAGAGAUGGUGUCUUCUCAGGCAAAAGGAAAACAAAAUGGAAUUCAGAAUGUAUCCCUAUUGUCCAAGUCUCUGUGCGCCAAGGACCUGGAAGCAAAUGAAAAAUUGUUUAACAG